Long non-coding RNA from Homo sapiens (human), 3632 nucleotides. Ensembl annotates it as ring finger protein 216 pseudogene 1. Its record names the gene RNF216P1. The record is from Ensembl. Lineage: Eukaryota; Metazoa; Chordata; Mammalia; Primates; Hominidae.
AUGGAUGUGAGGAGCCAGGUUGGACCUGUGUGCAUUCAUUAGAUGGGUGGGAGGCUGAGGAAUUCACAGGACGCUAACCUGGCCCUCUGGACAUCUGUGUGUGCUGCUUAGGUGCAUGCAGGAGCGGGGGCAGGGGCUGCUGGUGUGGCAGCAGGAGGAGCCCUCUGAGUUUGACUUGGCCUACGCCAAUUUCCUCUCCCUGGAUAUCAGCAUGCUGCGGCUCUUUGAGACCUUGGAGACGGCACCACAGCUCACGCUGGUGCUGGCCAUCAUGCUGCAGAGUGGCUGGGCUGAGUACUACCAGUGUGAGUGAAGGCCAAUGGUUGGUCCCCCUGUCGUGGCUUGGGAGGUCUCUCUCAAAUGUCAGAACUGUUUUUAUUCUUUUAUAAAGGCUGCUUAGAAAACAGGAUAACAGGCUUUAGUCAGGCAGAUCUGGCUUGAAACCUAAAGUCAUUCUGCAGCUGUUUGCGUUUGGACAAAUGCCUUGACCUCUCUGAGUAUGUUUGUUCUCAUCUGAAAAAUGGACAUAAAUCCUCCUGCCUCAUAAGGUUGAUGAAAGGAUUAAGUGAGGUGAUGCAAAGAAAGCCCAUUUCCUGGUACAUAAGUUCCUGGUACAGAGUCUCACUCUGUCGUCACCCAUAGUGGAGUACAGUGGCCUGAUCAUUGCUCACUGCAGCCUCGACCUCCCAGGCUCAGUUGAUCCUCCUGUCUCAGCCUCCUGAGUAGCUGGGACUACAGGCAUGUGUCAACCAUGCUGGCUAACUUUUCUUUUCUUUUCCUUUGUUUGGUAGAGACGAGGUCCCACGUUGUUACCUAGGCUGGUCUUGAACUCCUGAGCUCAAGUAACCUCCUACCUCAGCCUCCUAAGGUGCUGGGAUUACAGGUGUCGGCCACUGUGCCUGGCCCACAAGUCUUAAUUGUAACUUUUAUAAUUUUGAAGAUAAUAAAGUGUGUAAGGUGCCUGAUACAGAGUAGGUAACUUUUUUGUUAAGAAACAAUUUAAUACGUUGGGAUGUGCACAGGUUGCGUGAGGCCAGAGUUGGAGACCAUCCUGGGUAACAGAGUGAGACCUCAUCUCUUCAAAUUUUUAAAAAAGAAACAAGAAACAAUAUAUUGAAUGCCUUCAUCCAGUCGGGUUUUCAUUGUGCCUCUCUUUUCUGCCUGUUACUGUGCUGGGGACACAGCAGUGAACAAGAUGAACCCAGCCCCUGCGCUGCCAGGAUGAUAGACUAAAACAAGUAGCUACUGUAUAGCAUGUUGAGUGACUGGAAAAGGGAGAGGCAGGUGGCAGAGGCUCACAGGGCCCCCUAAGCAUGGGUGAAGUUUAUAGUGAGGAGCUUUGGGAGGGUUUUUGCCCAUAAAGGGAAGGUGACUUGCCUGUUUUCACAGACUCAGACAGUGGCCAAGCUAAAGAGGGCCCCCACCCACAUCCAACUCAGGGUCCAAGCCUUCCCCUUUGCCUUCCUCCACCGCUGCCAUAAAUGCCAGAGCCUCUCAAGGAACCAGUCCUCAUUCUACCGUCACUUGCUGUGUGACCCGGAGAGCCUUCCUGUGGAAGAUGGAGGUUGGACUCAAUCUCCAAGGGCCCUUUCAUCUUGUUAGUCUGAGUCUAUGUAUUGAUUGAAAAAACAAUAAUAGCAGCUGUCACUGUUAGCCAGGUGCCAGCUAUUAGCCAGGCCCGGUGGGAAGCACUUACAGUCAUCAUUGCUCAUGUUCACAGCAGCCCUAUAGGUUUGUGCUAGGUUGAUCUCCAUUUUUAAAGAGGUGCAGAAAGGUGAGUGACUUGCUCUGGGUCACUGGGCACUCACUGGGCACAUGUUUUUGUCUGUUGAGGGUGGGGGAGGUCUAGAACCAGGGCCAAGUGCAGACAGUCUGCACUGCAUGUAUGGCAGGGGGUAAGGGGGCGAAACAGAUUUUCCCUACUUUUUAUUUAGCAAACCUCUCUUUCGCUGCUGUUAUGUGCCAGGUACUGGGCUGCUGGGGGAUCCCAAGUGAGCAGAGUCUGUUUUCUACCCUCGAGGAGCUCAGAGAAAAGGAAAUAGAUAAUUACUGUGUGAUGAGACUCCAGACAGAGGGGUUGGCAUCUGCACAUCCUUCCUGGGCAUCUCGUGGGCACUGCUCGAUUACCACCAGGCCUUGCACACCUGCCUCCCCUCCAAGCCCCUCCUGGGCCUGGGCUCCUCUGUGAUCUACGUCCUGUGGAACCUGCUGCUACUGUGGCCCCGAGUCCUAGCUGUGGCCCUGUUCUCAGCCCUCUUCCCCAGUAUGUAGCCCUGCAUUUCCUGGGCCUGUGGCUGGUACUGCUGCUCUGGGUUUGGCUUCAAGGCACAGACUUCAUGCUGGACCCCAGUUCCGAGUAUCCUCUAUUUCUCCUGGUUCAACGUGGCUGAGGGCCACACCCGAGGCCGGGCCACCAUCCACUUGGCUUUCCUCCUGAGUGACAGCAUUCUCCUGGUGGCCACCUGGGUGACUUACAGCUCCUGGCUGCCCAGCAGGAUUCCACUGCAGCUGUGGCUGCCUGUAGGAGGCGGAUGCUUCUUUCUGGGCCUGGCUCUGUGGCUUGUGUGCUACUGCUGGCUGCACCCUAGCUGAUGCUGGGAGCCCAACCCUGACCAGGUGGACAGGACCCAGAGUCUACUUUCCUCAGAGGGGUAUCAGCUGCCUCAGACCCAGUUAGCACAGAACUUUUUUCCCAAGGGUAAGGCUGAGGCUGCUUCGCCAGUGAAGGGAGAGGUGAACGGCGUCCUUUGAAGCAGGAUCAGACCCAGCCAGCAGAGAUGGAGAGUGACUGCUGGCAGAAGGCAGGCGAGGAUAAGCUAACGAUGCUGCUGUGGCCUCCAUGCACUCAGCAAGAGUGGGAUGCCUCUGCUGGGCCGUGCACCAGGGAUGGUGCUGAGUGGGGCAGAGGCCUGCCUUCAAGGAGUUCACAGUGAACAAGAUGAGAAGGGCUGGGCCCUGCAGGGUCAAGAGCCCCAAUUACGUACAAGACACUUUGGGAGGAAAGACGACUACCUUUUCUUUUCCCCCUGCCAUUGGUAUAGCUGGUGCCCCAAAACUUUCACCUCCCUCCCUGGCCACCUCUAAAAUGAUUGGUAUAGGGGCUUCCCCACCCCUUAGCUCCCCUAUCCUGGGCUAGAAGGCCACAGGGACUGUCCUCUAGAAUUCUUCCUCCCCUCCCCCACACCAUUCAUUCAAUUCGUGAAACAAAUCUUCACCGAGAGCAGUUUAUGUGCUAGGAACAUCAUUCUAUCCUUGCAACCUGGAACAAGACCAGCUACCACCUUAGCUUCAUCCCCUACUUGCACCAACCAGUCCCGGGUUAGAUCUCAAAUGCCGGAAGUCAGGGAUGCCCAACUCUGGGCAGCCCCAGUCAGAACCUCUGGGAUCUCAGUGAAGCUGGCCUGGCCUCUGCUCUUGCUCUCAAGGGGCUGCUUUUCAACCAAGAGCCUUGUGAGCCUGGUCUGAGCCUUGCACAGCCACUGAGUAUUUUUUAUUCCUUAGCCAGUGUACCUCCUACCUCAGAGUCUAUGUGAGAGGAAGAGAAUGUGUGUCCCUGUGGGUCUCUGCAAGUGACAGAUGUGUUGUUUUUAACAGUAUUAUUAGGUUAUGAUUAAAGCCUCAUGAAAUCCUCU